This 3101-nucleotide long non-coding RNA is filed under the name Salmo salar (Atlantic salmon). RNAcentral describes it as "lncRNA (ENSSSAG00000079640.2)". The record is from RNAcentral. Lineage: Eukaryota; Metazoa; Chordata; Actinopteri; Salmoniformes; Salmonidae.
UACAAACUAGCGUUCUGUUCAGUAAUGUAAGUCUGGUAACUCUGGCUUUAGCAAUGUUAGUCUUUGAAAAGAGAAAAUGCAAAGGCAACGGCUGCUAAGAAUAAUUCUCUAUGCAGGGUAUGAGUUGUGUUGUGGCGUGUGGUUAUGUGGUGUUGCAAUGAUACUGCUUUGCCCAUAGGGUGCAUUUCAAAACAUCCUACCUCAAUGGUAGAAGUUUCAAAGUUGACUAAUUAUGGCACAAGCUGUGAGGCUACACGGUAACGGAAAAGCAAAAGUCUUGACAGAUUCACGCCUUCACAAAAGAGACAGCAUUUGACAUAAAGUCAAUCAAUCCUUUUAGAGUUAAAGGACUCACAAAAGAUGGAGACUUCACAGAGGUCUCCCGUUCAGUCAUCCUUUCUGAUCUCAAUAAUAGUUGUGCUGAAUAUCAUCGUAUGGAUGUUUCUAAUGUCAGCAGUGGGAUUAGGGGCUAUGCACCUACAUGACUGCCCCUUACAGCCUUAUAUCCCCAUCUACCUGCUGGUGUUCGGGGUGACGUCCAUCGCCUCCCUGCUCCUAUCCUACCUCAAUAACACACUGGAGACUGGCUUCCUGAGCCUACUGUGUUCCUCCUGCAUCUUCCUGCUCCAGCUCUUCAACCUCGGCUGGUUCAUCACAGGGAGUGAGUGGGUGUACUCCAUAUAUCCCCCGAACUAUGACUCGAAUGGUGGAGAGAAGUACUGUCAGAGGAAGAUAUACCUGUUUGCUUUCUGGUUCAACAGCCUGGGCAGCAUCUGUAUGGCUGUGGGGUUCUUCUGUGCAGUGUACUUCCUCUUCCUUACCUGUGUGAAAAUGGCAUUUAGGGGACACCAUUUACUCCAUUCACAUAAGAGAUCGUAUGGUGUGGACGCUUGAGAACUCUGUGGCACAGAAACCUCACUAACAUGGUUUUUCUGUUCUAUGUGUGGUGUGUGUGUGUGUGUGUGUGUGUGUGUGUGUGUGUGUGUGUGUGUGUGUGUGUGUGUGUGUGUGUGUGUGUGUGUGUGUGUGUGUGUGUGUGUGUGUGUGUGUGUGUAGUGGUGCCUGGAGAAGUGGGUAUACAAUAAUGUUGGCACAAUAAAGUCGCACUGUGUGAAAAAUUGUUUUCCCAUAAUUUUUCCAGGUAUUCACAAUUAAUUGCAAAAAUCUAUAUUUGGGGAGGUGUAGCUGCCCUUUAAUUCAGUUGCACACCAAGCAAGAUACCUUUUGGCGAGUGGGGUUGCUGUAGCCUAGUGUACAACGUACAGUUGAAGUCGGAAGUUUACAUACACUUAGGUUGGAGUCAUGAAAGUUCAUUUUUCAACAACUCCACAAAUUUCUUGUUCACAAACUACAGUUUUGGCAAGUCGGUUAGGACAUCUACUUUGUGCAUGACACAUGUCAUUUUUCCAAUAAUUGUUUACAGACAGAUUAUUUCACAAUUCCAGUGGGUCAGAAGUUUACAUACACUAAGUUGACUGUGCCUUUAAACAGCUUGGAAAAAUCCAGAAAAUGAUGUCAUGGCUUUAGAAGCUUCUGAUAGGCUAAUUGACAUCAUUUGAGUCAAUUGGAGGUGUACCUCUGGAUGUAUUUCAAGGCCUACCUUCAAACUCAGUGCCUCUUUGCUUGACAUCAUGGGAAAAUCAAAAGAAAUCAGCCAAGACCUCAGAAAAACAAUUGUUUUUCAAGACCUCCACAAGUCUGGUUCAUCCUUGGGAGCAAUUUCCAAAUGCCUGAAGGUACUACGUUCAUCUGUACAAACAAUAGUACACAAGUAUAAACCCCAUGGGACCACGCAGCCAUCAUACCGCUCAGGAAGAGACGCAUUCUGUCUCCUAGAGAUGAACGUACUUUGGUGUGAAAAGUGCAAAUCAAUCCCAGAACAACAGCAAAGGACCUUGUGAAGAUGCUGGAGGAAACAGGUACAAAAGUAUCUAUAUCCACAGUAAAACGAGUCCUAUAUCAACAUAACCUGAAAGGCCACUCAGCAAGGAAGAAGCCACUGCUCCAAAACCGGCAUAAAAAAGCCAGACUAUGGUUUGCAACUGCACAUGGGGACAAAGGGCAUACUUUUUGGAGAAAUGUCCUCUGGUCUGAUGAUACAAAAUAGAACUGUUUGGCCAUAAUGACCAUCGUUAUGUUUGGAGGAAAAAGGGGGAUGCUUGCAAGCCGAAGAAUACCAUCCCAACUGUGAAGAACGGGGGUGGCAGCAUCAUGUUUUGGGGGUGCUUUUCUGCAGGAGGGACUGGUGCACUUCAUGAAAUAGAUGGCAUCAUGAUGCAGGAAAAUUAUGUGGAUAUAUCGAAGCAACAUCUCAAGACAUCAGUCAGGAAGUUAUAGCUUGGUCGCAAAUGGGUCUUCCAAAUGGACAAUGACCCCAAGCAUACUUCCAAAGUUGAGGCAAAAUGGCUUAAGGACAACAAAGUCAAGGUAUUGGAGUGGCCAUCACAAAGCCCUGACCUCAAUCCUAUAGAAAAUGUGCAGAACUGAAAAAGCGUGUGCGAGCAAGGACGCCUUCAAACCACUCAGUUACACCAGCCAGCUCUGUCAGGAGAAAUGGGACAACAUUCACCCAACUUAUUGUUGGGAGCUUGUGGAAGGCUACCCGGAACAUUUGACCCAAGUUAAACAAUUUAAAGGCAAUGCUACCAAAUACUGAUUCAGUGUAUGUACACUUCUGACCCACUGGGAAUGUGAUGAAAGAAAUAAAAGCUUGGCUAUGAAAAGCCAACUGACAUUUGCUCGUGAGGUGCUGACCUGUUGCACCCUCAACAACCACUGUGAUUAUUAUUAUUUGACCCUGCUGGUCAUCUAUGAACAUUUGAAUAUCUUGGCCAUGUUCUGUUAUAAUCUCCACCUGGCACAGCCAGAGGAGGACUGGCCACCCCUCACAGCCUGGUUCCUCUCUAGGUUUCUUCCUCGGUUCUGGCCUUUCUAUGGAGUUUUUCCUAGCCACCGUGCUAGGAAAAUUCCCUGUAUUAGGUCAGUUAGGAUCACCACUUUAUUGUAAGAAUGUGAAAUGUCAAAAUACUAGUAGAGAGAAUGAUUUAUUUCAGCUUUUCAUAUCAAAUCAAAUGUAUUUAUAAAGUCCUUUUUACAUCAGC